Molecule: ribosomal RNA, 301 nt
Filed under: uncultured bacterium
Lineage: Bacteria
Description: partial 16S ribosomal RNA
Rfam family: Bacterial small subunit ribosomal RNA
Source: RNAcentral
CAGUCGCCACGGUAAUACGGAGGGUGCAAGCGUUAAUCGGAAUUACUGGGCGUAAAGCGCACGCAGGCGGUCUGUCAAGUCAGAUGUGAAAUCCCCGGGCUUAACCUGGGAACUGCAUUUGAAACUGGCAGGCUAGAGUCUUGUAGAGGGGAGUAGAAUUCCAGGUGUAGCGGUGAAAUGCGUAGAGAUCUGGAGGAAUACCGGUGGCGAAGGCGGCCCCCUGGACAAAGACUGACGCUCAGGUGCGAAAGCGUGGGGAGCAAACAGGAUUAGAUACCCCGGUAGUCCCUGUCUCUUAUAC